Acanthosepion pharaonis is the source of this 95-nucleotide non-coding RNA. The record is from the annotation of a GenBank genome assembly. Lineage: Eukaryota; Metazoa; Mollusca; Cephalopoda; Sepiida; Sepiidae.
GAAAGGCCGGUUCCAGUACGAUCAUCGAAGUUAAGUAACGUCAAGCCUAGUGAGUACUAAGAUGGGUGACUUCUUGGGAAUACCAGGUUCUGUAA